This is a long non-coding RNA of Sinocyclocheilus anshuiensis, 508 nucleotides long. RefSeq lists it as uncharacterized. The transcript is spliced from 4 exons. The record is from RefSeq and is a predicted model, not a curated record. Lineage: Eukaryota; Metazoa; Chordata; Actinopteri; Cypriniformes; Cyprinidae.
UCUCAUGUGAUCCUCCGUUCCGUUUCCGCUGUGAUAACACCCGCUGCAUCUACAGUCACGAGCUCUGCGACUCUAUAGAUGACUGCGGUGAUGGAACCGACGAGAGGCCGGAGCAUUGUGUGACUCCCACACAUGGGCCCUGCUCUGCAGACGAGUAUAAAUGUGGGAACGGUCAGUGCAUUCCUCUGCAGUACGCCUGCGACGACUACGACGACUGUGAAGACCAGACUGAUGAACUCGGCUGCUACUACGGCCAUGGACGCACAUGCAGUGAGAAUCUGUGUGAGCAUAACUGCACAGAUUUGUCAACCGGAGGCUUCAUUUGUUCCUGUAGACCUGGAUAUAAACCCAACCCGGAGGACAAGAACAACUGCAAUGAUGUGAACGAGUGUGAGAUUUACGGGACGUGCCCGCAGCUGUGCAGGAACACUAAGGGCAGUUAUGAGUGUUUUUGCGCUGACGGGUUUCGAUCAGUGGGAGAGCAGCCGGGAGUCGAAUGCGCUGCUGA